UAAACGGCUCUUUUUAGAGCCACCCAAGUUAAAAAUAGAGAUUUCGU
Non-coding RNA from Ciona savignyi (Pacific transparent sea squirt), 47 nucleotides. Lineage: Eukaryota; Metazoa; Chordata; Ascidiacea; Phlebobranchia; Cionidae. The record is from Rfam.